GUUCGAAAGAGUUUUCCUUUUCACCAUGGUUGGUUGAAGUGCGUGGUUGUAUUUUAAUAAUUUAAUUUUCAAUUUUUAAUUUUUGAAAUUUUUAAAUUGAAUUCGGUCCGGAUAAUUUUACUUUAAAGAUAACAAGAAAUUAUGGAAUUAUAAAGAUGUAGUGGAAGUAGUGCACUUGAAUUUUGAUUUGGUUAACAUGUAAGAUGUGCUCUAAUCAGAAAAAAAAUUCCUAUAACAAAAUUGUUACUAAAGUGCA
This is a long non-coding RNA of Condylostylus longicornis, 256 nucleotides long. RefSeq lists it as uncharacterized. The transcript has 3 exons. The record is from RefSeq and is a predicted model, not a curated record. NCBI's taxonomy places the organism in Eukaryota, Metazoa, Arthropoda, Insecta, Diptera, Dolichopodidae.